CUUUAGGAUAAUUCCAUUUUAUUUGCAACCUCCAUCUUUCAAUUUACACUUGCACAUUGACAGGUUAAGCUACUAUUUAAUCAAAAUAUGUGAUACAACUUCAAGGUAUAUCUAAAUAACACCACACGAUUAAGAAUAAAAAUGUAGUAAUUUUUUUAUGACUACAUUAUUAAAUAAGUGAUUUAACUGAUGUAAUAACUACAAUUGCAUCCUCCAGCAAUAUUGGAAACAUACACUAUUUAAAAGAGGCAUGUAUGCAGUGGUGACAUUUCCUAAAAAUACAUGUAAUUAGGAUUACUGUUUAGAGAAAG
This is a non-coding RNA of Pelobates cultripes (western spadefoot toad), 311 nucleotides long. The record is from the annotation of a GenBank genome assembly. Lineage: Eukaryota; Metazoa; Chordata; Amphibia; Anura; Pelobatidae.